This 320-nucleotide ribosomal RNA is filed under the name uncultured bacterium. Its description in RNAcentral is "bacterial SSU rRNA". It matches the Rfam family "Bacterial small subunit ribosomal RNA", at positions 470 to 789 of the family's 1533-position model. The record is from RNAcentral.
UGACGGUACCUGACUAAGAAGCCCCGGCUAACUACGUGCCAGCAGCCGCGGUAAUACGUAGGGGGCAAGCGUUAUCCGGAUUUACUGGGUGUAAAGGGAGCGUAGACGGAAUUGCAAGUCUGAUGUGAAAGGCAUGGGCUCAACCCGUGGACUGCAUUGGAAACUGUGAUUCUUGAGUGCCGGAGGGGUAAGCGGAAUUCCUGGUGUAGCGGUGAAAUGCGUAGAUAUCAGGAGGAACACCGGUGGCGAAGGCGGCUUACUGGACGGCAACUGACGUUGAGGCUCGAAGGCGUGGGGAGCAAACAGGAUUAGAUACCCUG